UGUCUCUUUGUCUGGCUUCCUUACAGCGGGUGACUGAUUGUCCCUGCCAGCUGGCUAAUAUCAUAAUUAGCAAAGUUGCUACCACAUCUGCAAAGUUUAAUCGAAAAAUUUACCAGUGGUAUGAUGGCAUUGUCACCAUGAUCCUAAGGGAAUCGGAGUCGACUUCUGCUUCAAGAGGAAUGGCAAGGCUGUAGAGCUGAGAUGAGAAACUGUAAACUUGCUCAGCCAAAGGAAAUAAUAUGCUCCAGAGAAUCCUCUAAUUCACCGAAAAUGGACUUGGAUAACAUUUGGGUUCUCAUACUACCACAGUCCUCUUGAGAAGGACAGGCAGGAGGCUAAUAAUGAAGGGGCCAGGGAAAGAGGCCAAUGCUACAGGGUUAUCUCCUAACCUCAGAUGUUGGAUAAGUCCACGGAAACAGCAGCGCUUCAGGAUGGCUUCAGAAAGGCUGGAGUGAUUGUUUGGAAGAGAAAAACCUGCCUAUUCAUUCAAAGGUACAUGAAUGUUGUCGAGACUGUCCCAUCUAAAGAAUCCUGCCUUAGACAAAGGAUGCGCUUGGAGCCUCACCACACCUAAAACCACGCUUUGAAGGGUCUGCCAAGCUCACUUUUAAUCAUGAGAAAGAAAUUACCCACAUGGAGACAGCAGAAAAUGAGAAAGUAGAGAUCGUGCUGCGAAUAAUUCCAGCGAGUGCCAAGGGGCUAGUUGAGGAAUGGCUUCAUGAGAUGUUAGUCUAUCUAGAACAACAGAUUUGGAUCUAAGCUGGACCUUUGAGAAAGAAAAGACUUCGAGGAAAGACACCUUUACAUGUGUUUUAAUUACCUUUCACCUGAAUUGUUUAAUGCACACUAUCCAAACUAUAUUCAUCUGUCUUGCUUCCUGUGUAUUUCUUCUUUUGCUUGAACUGCUUUAGUAUUGACUAUUAAACUACACAGUCAUUCUGGAUUUUUAAAAAGAGAAUUCUAAUAAAAACUUAUAUAUGUUGUUAA
Molecule: long non-coding RNA, 987 nt
Filed under: Mus pahari (shrew mouse)
Lineage: Eukaryota; Metazoa; Chordata; Mammalia; Rodentia; Muridae
Description: lncRNA (MGP_PahariEiJ_G0006465.1)
Rfam family: Rhabdomyosarcoma 2 associated transcript conserved region 9 (bases 532-724)
Source: RNAcentral